This 749-nucleotide ribosomal RNA is filed under the name Escherichia coli. RNAcentral's name for it is "partial 23S ribosomal RNA". It matches the Rfam family "Bacterial large subunit ribosomal RNA", at positions 1934 to 2682 of the family's 2925-position model. The record is from RNAcentral. Lineage: Bacteria; Pseudomonadati; Pseudomonadota; Gammaproteobacteria; Enterobacterales; Enterobacteriaceae.
CCGUAACUAUAACGGUCCUAAGGUAGCGAAAUUCCUUGUCGGGUAAGUUCCGACCUGCACGAAUGGCGUAAUGAUGGCCAGGCUGUCUCCACCCGAGACUCAGUGAAAUUGAACUCGCUGUGAAGAUGCAGUGUACCCGCGGCAAGACGGAAAGACCCCGUGAACCUUUACUAUAGCUUGACACUGAACAUUGAGCCUUGAUGUGUAGGAUAGGUGGGAGGCUUUGAAGUGUGGACGCCAGUCUGCAUGGAGCCGACCUUGAAAUACCACCCUUUAAUGUUUGAUGUUCUAACGUUGGCCCCUAAUCGGGGUUGCGGACAGUGUCUGGUGGGUAGUUUGACUGGGGCGGUCUCCUCCUAAAGAGUAACGGAGGAGCACGAAGGUUGGCUAAUCCUGGUCGGACAUCAGGAGGUUAGUGCAAUGGCAUAAGCCAGCUUGACUGCGAGCGUGACGGCGCGAGCAGGUGCGAAAGCAGGUCAUAGUGAUCCGGUGGUUCUGAAUGGAAGGGCCAUCGCUCAACGGAUAAAAGGUACUCCGGGGAUAACAGGCUGAUACCGCCCAAGAGUUCAUAUCGACGGCGGUGUUUGGCACCUCGAUGUCGGCUCAUCACAUCCUGGGGCUGAAGUAGGUCCCAAGGGUAUGGCUGUUCGCCAUUUAAAGUGGUACGCGAGCUGGGUUUAGAACGUCGUGAGACAGUUCGGUCCCUAUCUGCCGUGGGCGCUGGAGAACUGAGGGGGGCUGCUCCUAGU